Molecule: ribosomal RNA, 109 nt
Filed under: Enterobacter asburiae
Lineage: Bacteria; Pseudomonadati; Pseudomonadota; Gammaproteobacteria; Enterobacterales; Enterobacteriaceae
Also listed under: 9 other names
Description: partial 23S ribosomal RNA
Rfam family: Bacterial large subunit ribosomal RNA
Source: RNAcentral
UUUAAGUCUCCUGAAGGAACGUUGAAGACGACGACGUUGAUAGGUCGGGUGUGUAAGCGCAGCGAUGCGUUGAGCUAACCGAUACUAAUGAACCGUGAGGCUUAACCUU